GCGUUGUUCGGAUUCAUUGGGCGUAAAGGGUGCGUAGUUGGCUCGCUAAGUCAGGUGUGAAAUUUCGGAGCUUAACUCCGAAACUGCAUUUGAUACUGGUGUGCUUGAGGACUGGAGAGGAGACUGGAAUUUACGGUGUAGCAGUGAAAUGCGUAGAGAUCGUAAGGAAGACCAGUGGCGAAGGCGGGUCUCUGGACAGUUCCUGACACUGAGGAACGAAGGCGAG
This 226-nucleotide ribosomal RNA is filed under the name uncultured bacterium. RNAcentral's name for it is "partial 16S ribosomal RNA". It matches the Rfam family "Bacterial small subunit ribosomal RNA", at positions 538 to 763 of the family's 1533-position model. The record is from RNAcentral.